RNAcentral lists this transfer RNA (73 nucleotides) under Paracoccaceae bacterium. RNAcentral describes it as "tRNA-Thr". It matches the Rfam family "tRNA". Rfam says of the family: Transfer RNA (tRNA) molecules are approximately 80 nucleotides in length. The record is from RNAcentral. Lineage: Bacteria; Pseudomonadati; Pseudomonadota; Alphaproteobacteria; Rhodobacterales; Paracoccaceae.
GCCCGCAUAGCUCAGUUGGUAGAGCGACUGCCUUGUAAGCAGUGGGUCGGGAGUUCGAGUCUCUCUGCGGGCA